Molecule: long non-coding RNA, 1548 nt
Filed under: Olea europaea subsp. europaea
Lineage: Eukaryota; Viridiplantae; Streptophyta; Magnoliopsida; Lamiales; Oleaceae
Source: RNAcentral
UAUCCAUUUGAUCAAAAUGUGACUACAAAAUUUAAUAAUCUGUUAAAUUAUGGAGCCUAAUUAUUGUCACUGUGAUAAGUCAAUACUCGAAUUGAAAUGGAGCCAAUAAUUCCUGCAGAACUUGACAACCAGAGAAGCAGAGCAUCUAUCACAUGAGGAAUAUUCAAAUUAUCAAAAUGCAAUUGCAAAAUUGCACAAUCUUCCUUAAUGAGAUCAUCAUAAUACAUAUCUGUAGACUCAUCCUCUCUGUAGAAGAGGAAGGAGUCAAAAGCAUCUACAUUAAUAGAAUUAUGUAAUCCAGCAAAUUCACUUUUGGAUAACUGAAUGCCACUCCCAGAUCCAAACUGGAACCCAAUGAAAAGUUAGAUAGAGCUUCCUGCUUGAAACUUUGGGGGAUGUAUCAAGAAACAGCCGUAGGGAACUUCAUGAAAUCAGCUCGGGCCGGCUUCAUAAUGAGAACUCCAAAAUAAAAUCAGGGAUUGGUCAACUGCAUAAUCGAAAUCAAUAAUUUAACCUUUACAGGUUAUGUUUCCUUUAUGGAUUCUACAUAGAUAGAUGAAGAUAUGAGAAGAUAGACACAGAAAUUUGCUGUGAAACUAUCUACACAAUUUUAGAGAUGAAUCGCCUUCCGAGUGGUGGUGGUGGUGGUUAGAGUAAUCCACAACGGUGUCGAAUUGCCUACUGGAAAAAUAAGCUGAAGAGACUGGAAAUUGAUUGUGUAAACUGUGGAGAGUGUCUGGUGCACGAUUCUUCCUUUUAAUGUAAUAAGCAUCUAGUUAUAUCACAUUUCGGGUGGCAUUUGUAAUAGCACCAGGGCACUACUGUUGUGACGAUGGCCACCAAUGCCAGGGCCAGCCCUAAGAACUUCGAGGCUCUAAGCAUUUUAACUAUUAUGAGGCCCUUAAACAUAAUCUUUUAACAAGCAUAGUGAUACUUCUAUAUUGGUUUCUACUGCAAUGAUAUUGAUCUCUAUACCAAUUUUUCCUCCUUGGCUCUGCUACUUUCAGUAUCAGAAUACCAAACAAGAAGCCCUGUUACAACUAUAUUUAAGGUAUGUCUAUAGAUAGCACAGUUUCUCCAAAGAUUAGUCAAUCUAAAGUUGGAAGAAUUAUCUAUUUUAUGUGGUUUUAAUAGGUUUAGGGAGCUUCAAUAUUUCAGUAUAAUACAGUGCCAUUUUGAUGAAGACUGAAGAAUAGAUCAUGGUUCUUGAAGAAACGGUAAACAAAUAAAAACAAGGAUAACACCAAGCAAAUGGAUGAACAUUCUCUAAGUACAAAGAAAAGGAGGCCAAAGCAAAGCCAAUCAUCGCCUAAGCAGACAACUGAAUAUAUGCAAAUUUCUGCUCCCUAUACAUGAAUAUUAAAGUUAUGCUUCAUUAUAGCACCUUCACCCACACUAAAGAAGCAAAAACCACAAAUAGUUCAACAUUUACAAACACUUGAAAAAUGCUAAACAGAGGUGAGAACUGAGAAAAAAAUAUGAGUUAAACUUGAAUUAAUUAAAAAAAUGAGUGCUGAAAAACAAAAAAUUCACGAAUUUAACUCAAAU